Molecule: non-coding RNA, 22 nt
Filed under: Arabidopsis thaliana (thale cress)
Lineage: Eukaryota; Viridiplantae; Streptophyta; Magnoliopsida; Brassicales; Brassicaceae
Source: RNAcentral
AUAUGUCUAUCAAAAGCAUGGA